Molecule: long non-coding RNA, 2124 nt
Organism: Rosa rugosa (rugosa rose)
Lineage: Eukaryota; Viridiplantae; Streptophyta; Magnoliopsida; Rosales; Rosaceae
Exons: 10
Source: RefSeq, a predicted model, not a curated record
GCUGCGUGUUUGGUUUGCAUAACGACAGCUGGUUCUUUGAUCUGCACGAAUAGAAAGAGUGAGAGUGAGAGGGAGAGGACGAAAGACUAAGAGAACGGGUUUCGUUCUUUCGGUUUUGGGUUGCUGGCUCCAGCGAGACAGAGAGCGAAGAGAAGAAGAGGGAGACGCGCAGUUCUACUAAAUCAAAGCUGCAAUAAAAAAGAUGGGGAUGGAAGCAUCAAAAGGAUCUCUUGCCGCUGCAUCUCACCGGGAACAUGCAAGUAUAUCAAUAGAUUAAUAAUGUCGAUAUGGUUGGGCUCGAUAUGGUUUGGUUAAUUAAUAAUGUCGGCCUUGCUGUUCCAUGGAUUGGCUUUUGCUGUGGGUUCUAUCGUUAGGCUUUUGCUGUGGGUUCUAAAGAGGCAAUGGUUUUGAUCUCAGCGUUACCAUCUACACUCAUAUAACAAAUUCAAAAUAUGGUGGAAAGCUCUACACUGAUAUCACCGAGGUAUCUACAUUUGCAGUUAUUCUGCUGAUUAAAAACUAGAUGCAUGCAAUGGUAAGGUGCGGAAGAGGAAGAAGAAGGCGACAUAUUUGGUUGCUGAAGGGAGAAGCUUAAGAUAGUAUAUGAGAUAAUGAGUUUUUCUCUUCCUUUCUCUCAUAGUUUCUUACGUUUUUUUUUUUUUUUGGAUUUAAGUUUCUUACGUUUUCUCUUUAACAGGAUAAAUCAGUCUUCAUGCUGAUGUGGUUGUAAUGUCUGAAAAGGCAGACUGGUGGCCUAUAUUAUCCGGUCUUGACAGGUAGAAGAGAUAGUACCCAGUCCUACUUUGAUGUGGCAUUGGCGGAGAUUCCAAAACCUGGUGACAGUAUCACUCAGAUAUUGCAUCUGUUCUCAAAUGGAGGUUUUAGUGAGAGAGAAACAGUUGCUCUUCUAGGAGUGCACAACAUUGUAAAGAUAGGAUGUGAGUUCAUAUAGUCACGCGUAAACCACUUCAUUGGGACAGGGCAACCAAAUCCAGCUUUACCUUCUGAUCUCCUCAAUACAAUGAAACUAAAUGUGAAGACAAUGCUACCAAGACCACCAGUGAUACUGAUGCAUCUCAGUAUGAAUAUCAGAUCACAAAUUACUGAUACAUAUUUGAAGAACUGAAGCUUUGCACUCACUUGCUGCUGAACUAUGGUUUGGAUUUGGGUUGGUUUCAACUCUGAGUGGUAGACCAAAAAGGUUGUUUGGUUGCUGAAAAGCUCUAAGAGGACUGGAUCUGCAGACUGGCUUUUUUCACGUUGAGGCAAAUUAAAGCUGCCCCUAAUAACUUUGAUCCUGUAAACAAAAUUGGUGAGCAGUUUUGGUUGUGUCGAUAAGGGCAUAUCAUUGGAUGGCACUACAAUUGCAGUUAGGCAACUCUCUUCAAAAUCAAAGCGACGAAAUCGUGAGUUUGUGAAUGAAGUAGCUUGAUAUCUGGUUUACAACAUCCAAAUAUGCAUCGUCACAUAAACAUAUUACAGUUAAAGUGGCUCAUAGCCACAUAAAAUGGCUAGCACUAGCAGCUGGGAUCAGAUUUAUUUGUUGGGACUGACUUUGACAAAGUUCUUUUGCAGAUACAGAGAUAUACCAACCUGAUAAACCAUAAUCUCCAGUAAUAAAGCGUUAUUAUUGUUACAGGGUGAGCCCAGCUUAAAACUUAGUUUAGUUGCAGUCAUUGUUUGGUAUUGGUCUUUCUGGAAGACGGUGAGCCCAGCUAAAAGCUUGAGGUGAUUUUGUAUCAACUUCAAAAUACAAGUGCACAUGAGAGUGUCUUCCAAAAUCACAUCAAGUGCAUGCCAAGCAAGACUGAAAACUGAAGGACCAUCUUUAGAACACUGUCAGUAGAAGAUCAAUGAAGAUGUGCAUAUAUUUUUGCUUCCUACAUGACAACAUUUUUUUGAUAAGACACUGAUUUAUAUGAAGCUGUGAAGACCUUUUUUGCUCCCUACAUAGCGAUCUUUUGUGAUGAAGUGAAAUCCACCAUUAUUUCGAUAAUAUAAUGUUUUGUGGAAAGACUGCAUACAAAAUGCACAUCCUUGAACUAGAUUCAUACAAUGUAAAUUAAGUUCUAAAACAAUUUGUUUAACACAUAUUUUUCGUUUCAUGUAAACACAUCUUAGUUA